RNAcentral lists this long non-coding RNA (797 nucleotides) under Cricetulus griseus (Chinese hamster). Its description in RNAcentral is "lncRNA (ENSCGRG00000026276.1)". The record is from RNAcentral. Lineage: Eukaryota; Metazoa; Chordata; Mammalia; Rodentia; Cricetidae.
AUGAUACCCCUUUCUUCUUUAUGUAACCGGACACACCUUUCCUGCCCCAUAGUCCCUGCAUUGGUCUCAUUUAUCCAUUUAUCUGACCAUAGUGUAUUUAAUUCGUGCUACUAUGUGCCAGGCACUGUGCUGGGGACUGGGGAAACAAAGAUAAGCAGUGAAUGGCCCUCUCAGUGUCCGAAGGGCCACCCUGGCGAUCCACAGCUAAUCUAUGACAACUGGAUCACUUUGUCCUUCACCACGGCAGUGCUGGGCAUUCCAUCCACAGCCUUAAACAUGCUGCUACAUAGCCACUGACCUAAUCCAUCCCCUCUCAUCUGGACUACAACAAGAAACUCUAUGCUCACCUCCUUGGCACUGGACAUAGUCCUCUCCAAUUCAUACCUCAGAGUCUACUGCAAAAUGUUCAUCACAGUUUUCCUUUGCUUGGCUGCAUCAAUGGCUCACCAUGCCUUAUUACAGCAUAUAAAGUACUUUCUUCAUUUUAAAUUUCAACACCAUUAUAACUCACCCUUCUGACUCUCCUUUGUAUCUGUCCCAUAUGCAAAAUUCUUACCGAAUGUUGCCCAUUGAAUGAAUGCACAUCUCCCUCUCAUGCUUAUGGAACAGACCAGGUCUUGUUCUUUAUGACUGAGCUCAAAUAUUAAAAUAUCUGUGAAAUUCCCUUAUUUGACUUCUAAGUGCAGAAUAAGAUAUCUCUCCAUCAUGUAUCAAUAAUACCCACUCUUCUGUGUAGACUCUUCUAUGACAGUACAUUAUCAAUAGUAUGUUUCAUUGCACUGUCUGUAAAAACAUCU